UCUUUUAGUAUUGAUAAAAAAACAAACAAUUUCUCUCGCCUUGAUUAGCGGCUAUCUCUUCCUCCAAAUCUAAAAUCUUAAAAGCUUUUUUUUUUCUUUUUUCACGGGCGACCACUAGUGAGCUCUCAUCGGUGGUCAUCUAUUUUUCUUUUCUUUUUUUUUUUUUUACUAAUAAUCCUUAGAUUUGUAAUGAAUCUGAGUUAUCGUCACCCAAAUAUUGAGAUUUAUUGUUGUUCAUAUCUUAGAAUUUUAUUUUCAGAUUUAGUAUGAGUUGUUGUAUUACCAUAUGGUGAUUUUGUUUAACCUUUUUUAUUAUUUUGAUAAUUAUGCAGGAAGAAGUGCAGAUCUUCUUUCCAAUAGAAGGAAGAAAUUUGAAGGUAAUCAGAUUGAACACAUAGAAUGAAAUUUCUAGUUUGAUUUCUUCUCAAAAAAAUAUUAUAAUCACUAUUUUAAGCAUUAUUUAUAAUUUUGAUCUUUUUCAUUUCUUUUUACUUUUUGCUACAGUUAUGCAUG
RNAcentral lists this long non-coding RNA (513 nucleotides) under Jatropha curcas. RNAcentral's name for it is "long non-coding RNA (JCUR_LNC000511)". Lineage: Eukaryota; Viridiplantae; Streptophyta; Magnoliopsida; Malpighiales; Euphorbiaceae. The record is from RNAcentral.